UUUUUUAACGAGAAACCUCUUCCGGGCCUUUCACAUGUCGGAAAUCCCGGAAAGAGGGGGGUCUCUUCGGAACGGAACCCCAGGGGUGGCAGGGCGUUGUUAUCUUCUGUUCUGGGAAUGUGGGGUUAGUUUCGCAACGGGAGCAACCCCCUUCCUUUUUUUUCAGCGGGUAAAGACGGGGAUUUAUGGGAGACUGCCGGGGCCAAACCGGAGGAAGGUGGGGAUGACGUCAAGUCAUCAUGCCCCUUAUGUUCAGGGCUUCCCCCUUGUUACAAUGGCCGGUACAAAGGGUUGCAAAGCCGGGAGGGGGAGCGAAUCCCAAAAAACCGGUUUCAAUUCGGAUUGGCGUUUGCAACUUGGCUCCCUGAAGUCGGAAUUGCGUUGUAAUCU
This 390-nucleotide ribosomal RNA is filed under the name uncultured bacterium. Its description in RNAcentral is "partial 16S ribosomal RNA". It matches the Rfam family "Bacterial small subunit ribosomal RNA", at positions 954 to 1335 of the family's 1533-position model. The record is from RNAcentral.